This 194-nucleotide small RNA is filed under the name Bordetella pertussis. Its description in RNAcentral is "Manganese sequence". It matches the Rfam family "Manganese Mn2+ riboswitch aptamer (yybP-ykoY)". From Rfam's summary of the family: This RNA was originally discovered in E. coli during a large scale screen and was named SraF. RNAcentral also lists the same sequence under 1 other name. The record is from RNAcentral. Lineage: Bacteria; Pseudomonadati; Pseudomonadota; Betaproteobacteria; Burkholderiales; Alcaligenaceae.
CGCACUGUCAUUGGGGAGUAACCAUCUCUAUCCCCGGAUCCGUCUCCGAACAGAGGCCGGCUCCAGAGAGUCAGCGUCAACACACUUGGUGGUUUCGUACCCCAUGGCGCUGACGGCCCGCACGCACGGAUCAUCCGCGCGCAGCAGCCCGGCGAGACCUUUGGCCGCGAUGCGUUCACCCUGCCGGGCGAGCC